UCCUCAAUGGCUCAGAGAUAGAGCAUCAAUAAUUGACUGAUCAUAGGUUCGAAUCCUACUUGGGGAG
Molecule: non-coding RNA, 67 nt
Organism: Tetracentron sinense
Lineage: Eukaryota; Viridiplantae; Streptophyta; Magnoliopsida; Trochodendrales; Trochodendraceae
Source: the annotation of a GenBank genome assembly